GGCGAGUGAAGAGGGAAGAGCCCAAGAUUGAAAGCUGGCGCCUUCGGCGUCCGCAUUGUAAUCUCAAGAAGUGUUUUCCGCUUCGGACCAUGCCUAAGUCCCUUGGAAAAGGGCAUCAUAGAGGGUGAUAAUCCCGUACAUGGCAUGGAGCGCCCGAAGCUUUGUGAUACGCUUUCUAAGAGUCGAGUUGUUUGGGAAUGCAGCUCAAAAUGGGUGGUAAAUGCCAUCUAAGGCUAAAUAUUGGGGAGAGACCGAUAGCGAACAAGUACAGUGAUGGAAAGAUGAAAAGAACUUUGAAAAGAGAGUUAAACAGUACGUGAAAUUGCCAAAAGGGAAGGGUAGGAGGUCAGAGAUGCGUCGCAGGAUUCAGCCUUGCUUUUGCUUGGUGUUUUUCCUGCGUUGCAGGCCAACGUCGGUUUUGGGCACUGGAGAAGGGUAGGAGGAACGUGGCACCUCUCGGGGUGUGUUAUAGCCUCCUACUGGAUACAGCGACCGAGACCGAGGAACGCAGCGUACUCGUAAGAGCGGGCCUUUUGGCACCUUUACGCUUAGGGCGUUGGCAUAAUGGCCCUCUACCACCCGUCUUGAAA
This 590-nucleotide ribosomal RNA is filed under the name Pseudozyma hubeiensis. Its description in RNAcentral is "partial large subunit ribosomal RNA". It matches the Rfam family "Eukaryotic large subunit ribosomal RNA", at positions 88 to 659 of the family's 3401-position model. The record is from RNAcentral. Lineage: Eukaryota; Fungi; Basidiomycota; Ustilaginomycetes; Ustilaginales; Ustilaginaceae.